AGCUCCAAUAGCGUAUACUAAAGUUGUUGCAGUUAAAAAGCUCGUAGUUGGAUUUCUGGUCGUGGGCCUCGGUCCGCCCCUCACGGGGUGUGCACCUGGGGUCUGCAGCCAUCCUCAGGGGGAACAUGUCUGACAUUAAGUUGCCGGGCAUGGGAUCCCUGUCAUUUACUGUGAGCAAAAUAGAGUGUUCAAAGCAGGCUUAGGCCGUUGAAUACAUUAGCAUGGAAUAAUAAGAUAGGACCUUGGUCUAUUUUGUUGGUUUGCACUCCAAGGUAAUGAUUAAUAGGGAUAGUUGGGGGUAUUCGUAUUCAAUUGUCAGGGGUGAAAUUCUUGGAUUUAUGGAAGACGAACUACUGCGAAAGCAUUUACCAAGGAUGUUUUCA
This 383-nucleotide ribosomal RNA is filed under the name uncultured eukaryote. RNAcentral describes it as "SSU rRNA". It matches the Rfam family "Eukaryotic small subunit ribosomal RNA", at positions 587 to 972 of the family's 1831-position model. The record is from RNAcentral.